AUACGGAGGGUGCGAGCGUUAAUCGGAAUUACUGGGCUUAAAGGGCGUGUAGGCGGCUAGAUCAGUCGGGUGUGAAAGCCCUCGGCUUAACCGAGGAAUUGCAUUCGAUACUGUCUAGCUAGAGCGCGGGAGGGGAGAGUGGAACUCUAGGUGUAGCGGUGAAAUGCGUAGAUAUCUAGAGGAACGCCGGUGGCGAAAGCGACUCUCUGGCCCGCAACUGACGCUGAGGCGCGAAAGCUAGGGUAGCGAACGGGAUUAGAAACCCCAGUAGUCC
RNAcentral lists this ribosomal RNA (274 nucleotides) under uncultured bacterium. Its description in RNAcentral is "partial 16S ribosomal RNA". It matches the Rfam family "Bacterial small subunit ribosomal RNA", at positions 523 to 796 of the family's 1533-position model. The record is from RNAcentral.